RNAcentral lists this transfer RNA (71 nucleotides) under Acidobacteriota bacterium. RNAcentral's name for it is "Acidobacteria bacterium (activated sludge metagenome) tRNA-Trp". It matches the Rfam family "tRNA". Rfam says of the family: Transfer RNA (tRNA) molecules are approximately 80 nucleotides in length. Their secondary structure includes four short double-helical elements and three loops (D, anti-codon, and T loops). The record is from RNAcentral. Lineage: Bacteria; Pseudomonadati; Acidobacteriota.
AAAGGGAUAGUUUAACGGAAAAGCGCCGCACUCCAACUGCGGAGUUAAAGGCUCGAUUCCUUUUCCCUUUC